AAAUUAACAGGGGCUAAGAUCGGUCAGUGAGACGAUGGGGGAUAAGCUUUAUCGUCGAGAGGGAAACAGCCCGAAUCACCAGCUAAGGCCCCUAAAUGACCGCUUGGUGAUAAAGGAGGUGGGGGUGCAAAGACAGCCAGGAGGUUUGCCUAGAAGCAGCCACCCUUUAAAGAGUAGGAGUGGAUAACGAGCUAGCUCGGCUCGGCUCGGUCUGGCUCGUUAAGAUAACGAGCUGGCUCGGCUCGGUUCGUUAUUGUAACGAGCUA
RNAcentral lists this non-coding RNA (266 nucleotides) under Oryza brachyantha (malo sina). RNAcentral's name for it is "Bacterial large subunit ribosomal RNA". It matches the Rfam family "Bacterial large subunit ribosomal RNA", at positions 957 to 1182 of the family's 2925-position model. The record is from Rfam by way of RNAcentral. Lineage: Eukaryota; Viridiplantae; Streptophyta; Magnoliopsida; Poales; Poaceae.